ACCUGCACUACUUUGACGUUACCUACAGAAGAAGCACCGGCUAACUCCGUGCCAGCAGCCGCGGUAAUACGGAGGGUGCGAGCGUUAAUCGGAAUUACUGGGCGUAAAGCGCAUGCAGGCGGCCUGUUAAGUCAGAUGUGAAAGACCCGGGGCGUUAACCUCGGAAUUGCAUUUGAAACUGGCAGGCUAGAGUCUUGUAGAGGGGGGUAGGAAUUUCAGGUGUAGCGGUGAAAUGCGUAGAGAUCUGAAGGAAUACCAGUGGCGAAGGCGGCCCCCUCGGACAAAGACUGACGCUCAGAUGCGAAAGCGUGGGGAGCAAACAGGAUUAGAUACCCUGGUAG
RNAcentral lists this ribosomal RNA (341 nucleotides) under uncultured bacterium. Its description in RNAcentral is "bacterial SSU rRNA". It matches the Rfam family "Bacterial small subunit ribosomal RNA", at positions 457 to 793 of the family's 1533-position model. The record is from RNAcentral.